This is a long non-coding RNA of Mercenaria mercenaria, 562 nucleotides long. RefSeq lists it as uncharacterized. Lineage: Eukaryota; Metazoa; Mollusca; Bivalvia; Venerida; Veneridae. The record is from RefSeq and is a predicted model, not a curated record. The transcript is spliced from 5 exons.
AAAAGAUUCCAAAAGUUGAAAGAUUCCAGUUCAAUCUAUUCAGUGCAUUAUGUGAUACCGUCUGUUGCAAAUGAGGAUUUGAAAUCUUUUUUCGAAGAGGAAACAGGUCAAUCGGAGAACUAUAUUUAUAAAGUGAUGGUGAAGGAGGCAAUGAUAACAAUAAUGCAGGAGGCCAUAGGUGACGAAUAUGAAAAUGUGGACGUGGAGCUGCGGAAAACAGAGGGGAAAACUACAAAUAAAUCCAAUUCACUUCUGUUGAAUUAUAUCAUGAACGACAGAGAAAAGUACAUCCAAUUACACAAGAGGAAUUAAUGCAUGAUCUGCUCCAUUACAAGUUAUUUGUGACACUAUAUUGAUCUGAAUUCAUACGACUAGAGGUCGUUAAAGUCAAGUACCCAGGACUUUUAUUUUCCCUGCUGUAACAAUUGCUCUACAUUGUCUAAUAUGUUGAAAGAUUUAUUUCACGUGACCAUGCAGUUGAAAGAUGUUACACCAUAUGUUCUUCAUGAUUGUGCGUGAUCAUGCAAGUGUGUUGAUUGGAAAUAAGUUAUUUGCAGAAUUA